UGCGGCGGGGGCGACUGGCGCUGAACGUGGAGCGGACCACGGGGAAGCCCCCAGCACAUCCCGGAUCGCGCGCCUGGGUCGGAGCA
This 86-nucleotide non-coding RNA is filed under the name Deinococcus hopiensis. Its description in RNAcentral is "ZTP sequence". It matches the Rfam family "ZMP/ZTP riboswitch aptamer (pfl RNA motif)". Rfam says of the family: Previously known as pfl RNA. ZMP is also known as AICAR. The record is from RNAcentral. RNAcentral also lists the same sequence under 1 other name. Lineage: Bacteria; Thermotogati; Deinococcota; Deinococci; Deinococcales; Deinococcaceae.